CACGUAGGGGGCGAGCGUUGUCCGGAUUCAUUGGGCGUAAAGCGCGCGCAGGCGGCUCGGAAAGUCGGGUGUGAAAACUCGGGGCUCAACCCCGGGCGUGCAUCCGAUACUGCCGGGCUUGAGGCAGGUAGGGGAGAUCGGAAUUCCUGGUGUAGCGGUGAAAUGCGCAGAUAUCAGGAGGAACACCGGUGGCGAAGGCGGAUCUCUGGGCCGAUACUGACGCUGAGGAGCGAAAGCGUGGGGAGCGAACAGG
Molecule: ribosomal RNA, 253 nt
Filed under: uncultured bacterium
Lineage: Bacteria
Description: partial 16S ribosomal RNA
Rfam family: Bacterial small subunit ribosomal RNA
Source: RNAcentral